RNAcentral lists this unclassified non-coding RNA (313 nucleotides) under Hevea brasiliensis (rubber tree). Lineage: Eukaryota; Viridiplantae; Streptophyta; Magnoliopsida; Malpighiales; Euphorbiaceae. The record is from RNAcentral.
CCGUUACUUCCAGCAUCUUCAUUCUAUUGGUUAUUACUGCCGGCGGCAACCGCACGCCACCGUUGCUUCUCUUCUCCGUCACUCUGUUAAUCUCUCACCGGUUGCCAGACAUCAACCAUCAAGUCUAGCACCAAAAAGCCGGUUAACCGCUUAGUCAGUAAAAUUGGCUCACUAGUUUGGAUCGGCUCAAUUUUUCUUCAUUCAACUUGUAAAGUGCUUUGGCAUGGUGCAUUUCGCCAAUCAUGAUGCUCUACGAUGGGUUUAAAGAAAUACUAAAGAUUCAGAAGUUUCGCAGAAUCGUAUCUUACACUGG